AUCUAAAUAGUUUAAUUUAAAAUUUGAGUUUGUGGAACUUUAGAUAAUUUUUGAUUUUUAGAUA
RNAcentral lists this transfer RNA (64 nucleotides) under Tomocerus caputiviolaceus. RNAcentral describes it as "tRNA-His". The record is from RNAcentral. Lineage: Eukaryota; Metazoa; Arthropoda; Collembola; Entomobryomorpha; Tomoceridae.